CCGCCUCCAUUGGAGGUCUAUAUUGAGCAGAUUCUUUUUGGUGUUGGGUGGUGGAACCGGAGCUUGCUCCAUCCACUCCAUGCAUUGACCUGGUAUUCCAGUGCUUCCAGGACCGGUGC
Molecule: small nuclear RNA, 119 nt
Filed under: Crocodylus porosus (Australian saltwater crocodile)
Lineage: Eukaryota; Metazoa; Chordata; Crocodylia; Crocodylidae
Description: U2 spliceosomal RNA (ENSCPRG00005003337.1)
Rfam family: U2 spliceosomal RNA
About the family: U2 is a small nuclear RNA (snRNA) component of the spliceosome (involved in pre-mRNA splicing).
Source: RNAcentral